Maniola jurtina (meadow brown) is the source of this 1095-nucleotide long non-coding RNA. RefSeq lists it as uncharacterized. The transcript has 2 exons. Lineage: Eukaryota; Metazoa; Arthropoda; Insecta; Lepidoptera; Nymphalidae. The record is from RefSeq and is a predicted model, not a curated record.
GCUGCUGCCCGCCGGGAGUGAGGGAGACGCACAGUGGAGCAGCGCCGCGCUAGACAGGGACGCACGGCGCUGCCGCUGCGCGCCCUACGCCAGCCCGAGCGCGUUCAGGAGCUACUACAAAAGGAUAGCGGAGGUCGCGGCCGGGUCGCCGGCGCGGCGCUGACGCGGCUCCCGCGCCAGAGCCACAAGCUUACCGUUACAUUAUUAUUUAUAUUUUACAACCCGCAAUUUUUUUGAAUAUUAUUUUGAAAUGAAAAUUAUUUUUAUUUUACACGUAUUAGGCAAGUAUUCCUCUUUAGUUUCUUUCAUUUCUUCUCUAGAAGUUGACAACUUACACAUACCUAAUAUUAAAUUAGAUUAAAGAAGUUAAAUAACCAAUUUCGGACAGCGAUAUAUCAGAAAGAAACAGUGUUCAAUUCUAAAAUCAUCAUCAUCAUUAUCAAUCGAUAGACGGCCACAGUUGGACAUAGGGACCUCCACACGCCACUGCCGCCCGCGCCAUACAGAGCGGCUCCCGUACACUCGUGGGGGGGUCUUACAAUGCUGUGCUUCCCGGUGCGAGGUCGCCAUUCCAGCAGCUUGGGGUCCAAGUCUAACAGUUUUUCCAACUAAUCUAAUUUGUGCCUGUCCAUUGCCACUUUAGCUUCGCAACCCGCUGAGUUAUGUCGGUUACUUUGGUUUUCCACUCACCUUCGAUUUGUCGUUGACGGAGACUCUGGAAGACUUCAAUUCAAUGCUCAAUGACUUUAACAGAGUUUCUCAAAAAAUGAAUAAGUAUAAAACGAGAAAUUAAAAUAAUAAAAGUCAUAGAUAUCACAUUAAAAAGAAAAUUGCUUUAUUAGUCUAAAAAUGGUUAUUUUCCGCUGGUUCCAAAUUCUAAGGCUGGGGAUUCGGAACUAGUUUGACAGAUUUGGCUCUUACUUACGACGUUAUUAUUGUUUAUUUAUUUAUUUAUGUAUCUGCUGUCGUAGUGAGCUGCCAAGUUUGUCGAUAUAGUAAUUAAUACGUAUUAGCUAGAUAUUUAAUAAAAUGUUGAUUAUAAAAUGUUAGGAAUCUUGUAUACGAUGUACCUAUCUAAUAAAAUUGAUACGACUA